Molecule: ribosomal RNA, 476 nt
Filed under: uncultured organism
Description: partial 16S ribosomal RNA
Rfam family: Bacterial small subunit ribosomal RNA
Source: RNAcentral
UACACUCCUACGGGAGGCAGCAGUGGGGAAUUUUGGACAAUGGGCGAAAGCCUGAUCCAGCAAUGCCGCGUGCAGGAUGAAGGCCUUCGGGUUGUAAACUGCUUUUGUACGGAACGAAAAAGCUCCUUCUAAUACAGGGGGCCCAUGACGGUACCGUAAGAAUAAGCACCGGCUAACUACGUGCCAGCAGCCGCGGUAAUACGUAGGGUGCGAGCGUUAAUCGGAAUUACUGGGCGUAAAGCGUGCGCAGGCGGUUAUGUAAGACAGAUGUGAAAUCCCCGGGCUCAACCUGGGAACUGCAUUUGUGACUGCAUGGCUAGAGUACGGUAGAGGGGGAUGGAAUUCCGCGUGUAGCAGUGAAAUGCGUAGAUAUGCGGAGGAACACCGAUGGCGAAGGCAAUCCCCUGGACCUGUACUGACGCUCAUGCACGAAAGCGUGGGGAGCAAACAGGAUUAGAAACCCUGGUAGUCCCAUG